This 383-nucleotide ribosomal RNA is filed under the name uncultured eukaryote. RNAcentral describes it as "partial 18S ribosomal RNA". It matches the Rfam family "Eukaryotic small subunit ribosomal RNA", at positions 592 to 976 of the family's 1831-position model. The record is from RNAcentral.
CAGUAGCGUAUAUUAAAGUUGUUGCAGUUAAAAAGCUCGUAGUUGGAUUUCUGGUGGGAGCGAUCGGUCUGGCGCUUAGCGCGAGUACUUGCAUCGUCUCCGGCCAUCCUUGGGGAGUGUCUGUCUGGCAUUAGGUUGUCGGGCAGAGGAUCCUCAUCGUUUACUGUGAAAAAAUUAGAGUGUUCAAAGCAGGCUUAUGCCGUUGAAUAUAUUAGCAUGGAAUAAUAAGAUAGGACUUUGGUACUAUUUUGUUGGUUUGCGCACCAAAGUAAUGAUUAAUAGGGACAGUUGGGGGUAUUCGUAUUCCGUUGUCAGAGGUGAAAUUCUUGGAUUUACGGAAGACGAACUACUGCGAAAGCAUUUACCAAGGAUGUUUUCAUUAA